Molecule: long non-coding RNA, 777 nt
Organism: Phyllostomus discolor (pale spear-nosed bat)
Lineage: Eukaryota; Metazoa; Chordata; Mammalia; Chiroptera; Phyllostomidae
Exons: 3
Source: RefSeq, a predicted model, not a curated record
UAACAUUUUUGGGGUGAAAUUUUAAGGGGAUAAUGAAUCAUUUCCUUUUUUCAACAAACUUAUUUUCCAAACACUAGAGACACAGAGGUACAUAAAGCAGAUACCUGCUUUCACCAAGUCUCCCCCAGCACACAUACCCCUAAAUGGAUUGGUGUUACUUUUGGCUCAGUUUCCUAAAAGAGAAUAAUCAAAAUAUGCUACAAAUGGUAGCAUAUCAGGGACUCUCUUCUGAAGUUUAUUUUAUCACCAUAACGGUUAAAAAACACCUAACCCAUCUUUUUACAUCUGUUUCCGUAUACAUAAUAUGGCAGUAAUGGUAAAACUUCUAUCUUUUUAGGGUCUUUGUGAGAAAAUUUUAAAAGCUUCUGGAAAGGUGAACUGCAUAGUAAGACAGUAAGACAAAAAUACAGUAAUUCAGAGAGUAGAAAAAUAAUGAAAGUACAUUACAUAAAUAAACAAUAAAACUUUGAGAACAGGAUGUGGUACAAUUGUAAAAAUAAGCAUGUGCAUACAAUAUAAUCUAGCAAUUAUGCUCCCAUGUACUUCUAUAUACUUAAAUGUAGGUAUAUAUCCAAAUGUCUGUGGUCAGGAAAAUGGAUAAACAUACUGGAAUAUAUACAAUUAAGUAUUAUAUUAAGUUAAAGUAGGGUGGUGAACACAAAACACAAUACACAAAGGAUGCAUUAUAGAAUGGUACACCUGAAAUCUCUAUGCUUAUUAACCAAUGUCACCCCAAUAAAUUCAACAAAAAAGAAAAAAAAUAGUUCCUAGAAAAGC